This is a long non-coding RNA of Centropristis striata (black sea bass), 1132 nucleotides long. RefSeq lists it as uncharacterized. The record is from RefSeq and is a predicted model, not a curated record. NCBI's taxonomy places the organism in Eukaryota, Metazoa, Chordata, Actinopteri, Perciformes, Serranidae. The transcript is spliced from 3 exons.
GAGAUCUUCCUGCGUCUCAAACGACCCACGUGCGCCAGUAAAUGUCAUGGAAACAGAAUGACCGUCACGUCAUGUAGGCCUAUAUAAAUGCCCGCAGACCCGUCAUUUCUCACUUUGCACUACCUGGACCUGGACAUGAGCUGAAAACCUCUUGACCCAAACUGUGGAAAGCUAACUUUUGGAAACUUCUAAAAAGCGGACCUAAGAGCGAACAAAACAACUGCUUCACGCAACUUUUGUGUUAAACCCGAAGAGCCUGAAGUCUUCAGUGGACCACUGGUCGCUGAGGACCACCUGCUGUCAGGGCCUACCACCCAGGUGGACGCUAACCCUGCAGGUGGUGCUAAUUUCAUCACUGCAUCUGCUUCUGCAUCUGCAUUUGUGUUUUAUUAACUGUCACACUGUUAGCGUGAGAGUCUGCAACAUUCCAGCCAACUUGUACUACAGUUACAGUUUAAGCUGAAAACGUAUCCGCAAGGAUGUUUGAACCACCUUUCUCCCAGCAAAAGGUUUGUUUUGACAAAAAGUGUUUUAUCACCUCCUUAUACACGGUCGCCCAUAAAAUUGGAAUUAUUUUGUUUUUAAACACAAUCCUCAGUUAAUUGUGGUUUCAUUUAAUUAGAAGAAAUUGAUUAAUACAGUUUUGAGAAGAUAAGAGUAGGGAGUAGCUGCCUGUGAGGACAAAAGCUACACAUGCCCUGUUGAGGACCACCUGAUCUUUAGGAUGCAGAACACCAGAACCUGUAAAAGGUGAGGUGAGAAAACACAGCAGCAGCUGACACCAGUUUUAGUCUCCUCAUCCAUCACUCAUUUUACACUGCACAUACAGACUAGAGACGUUGCUUGUCAUGUCAAUGUGAUUUGAAAUUCAUCUGGUCCACUUGUUCCAUUGUCAUGACUCAUGUGGCGGAAUUUUUUAUGUAAGUUCCCUUUAAUACAGUUGUGGUGCCCAGUCUACCAGACAGGAAGACUUCAGCAACCUGUCUCUUAAUCUUGCACCUGGAGGUUCAGUCCAGCAGAUGCUCCAGGAUUACCUAAUGGAGACGGAGCUGGACUUCCAGUGUGAAUGCGGGGGCAACAAAUCUGGCCAGCAGUCCCGUUUCUCUGACCUCAUAUUAUAUCAUGUUUAUUU